Molecule: ribosomal RNA, 494 nt
Filed under: uncultured Campylobacterota bacterium
Lineage: Bacteria; Pseudomonadati; Campylobacterota
Description: bacterial SSU rRNA
Rfam family: Bacterial small subunit ribosomal RNA
Source: RNAcentral
UAGGUGGAUUAGUGGCGCACGGGUGAGUAAUAUAUAGAUAACGUGCCUCUUAGUCUGGGAUAGCCAUUGGAAACGAUGAUUAAUACUAGAUACUCCUUCUAACUCUAAUGUGAGUUGGGAAAGUUUUUCGCUAAGAGAUCGGUCUAUAUCCCAUCAGCUAGUUGGUAGUGUAAGAGACUACCAAGGCAAUGACGGGUAGCGGGUUUGAGAGGAUGAUCCGCCACACUGGUACUGAGACACGGACCAGACUCCUACGGGAGGCAGCAGUGAGGAAUAUUGCACAAUGGAGGAAACUCUGAUGCAGCAACGCCGCGUGGAGGAUGACGCAUUUCGGUGUGUAAACUCCUUUUAUAUGUCAAGAAAAUGACGGUAGCAUAUGAAUAAGCACCGGCUAACUCCGUGCCAGCAGCCGCGGUAAUACGGAGGGUGCAAGCGUUAUUCGGAAUCACUGGGCGUAAAGGACGCGUAGGCGGGAUGCCAAGUCUGAUGUGAAA